AUUGAACGCUGGCGGCAUGCUUUACACAUGCAAGUCGAACGGUAACAGGCCUUCGGGUGCUGACGAGUGGCGAACGGGUGAGUAAUGCAUCGGAACGUACCCAGAGGUGGGGGAUAACGCAGCGAAAGCUGUGCUAAUACUGCAUGUGAUCUGAGGAUGAAAGCGGGGGACCGAGCAGCAAUGUUUGGCCUCGCGCCUUUGGAGCGGCCGAUGUCGGAUUAGCUAGUUGGUGGGGUAAAGGCCUACCAAGGCGACGAUCCGUAGCUGGUCUGAGAGGACGACCAGCCACACUGGGACUGAGACACGGCCCAGACUCCUACGGGAGGCAGAAGUGGGGAAUUUGGGACAAUGGGCGCAAGCCUGAUCAAGAAAUGCCGCGUGCGGGAAGAAGGCCUUCGGGUUGUAAACCGCUUUUGGAAGGAACGAAACGGUGUCCGCUAAUACCGGGCGCUAAUGACGGUACCUGCAGAAUAAGCACCGGCUAACUACG
RNAcentral lists this ribosomal RNA (490 nucleotides) under uncultured bacterium. RNAcentral describes it as "partial 16S ribosomal RNA". It matches the Rfam family "Bacterial small subunit ribosomal RNA", at positions 29 to 505 of the family's 1533-position model. The record is from RNAcentral.